ACAGAAAAAGGGAUGUGUUUGGCGCGUACAGUCAGGGACGUGUGGACGGACAUUGACUAAUGAUGGACAGAAUGAGAGAUGUGUUUGGAGCGUUACACCCAGGGACGUGUGGACUGACAUUCGCUCUAAUGAUGGACUUCUGCUCGUGGAUGGGACAUGGGCCAGUUCAUCAGUGAUGCAGCACAGUUUCCAAUAAAGCCCCGUAUUGAGGGAAGUAGAGCACAGAUGGGAAAGUAAGGGAGUGUGAUCAAGACAUGACCAGAUUCAAACCGCAGGUGUCUGCGGCAUGCGUCGAGUGGAGCUUUUUUCCCACUCACAAAUGUUUGUCUUAAAACAGACAUUCUCCAACACAUUGAGUUAGAAGAGGUCAUGGCCAAUCCUUUUGAGACGUGGCACACCGUCGACAGGACACCAGACGUGCAUUUCCAACCUCAGGGGGCGAUUUAAGGAAUUAAGGUACAUUCACACUGGAAUUAAUUCUCUACACGACAGGAAAGCGGCAUACAGCUUCUAAGAUCUACAGGUGGCGUAAGCGGCUUCACGUUCAAUCUGACGCACCUUCAGUCGCUUGACAACAUUAAACACGUGCGGACUGUUUAAAGUAGCCUACAGAUUCUGCAGAUGACAGCUGAGUAUCAUUCAACAACAUUCUCCAACACCUUGAGUUAGAAGAGGUCAUGGCCAAUCCUUUUGAGACGUGGCACACCGUCGACAGGACACCAGACGUGCAUUUCCAACCUCAGGGGGCGAUUUAAGGAAUUAAGGUACAUUCACACUGGAAUUAAUUCUCUACACGACAGGAAAGCGGCAUACAGCUUCUAAGAUCUACAGGUGGCGUAAGCGGCUUCACGUUCAAUCUGACGCACCUUCAGACGCUUGACAACAUUAAACACGUGCGGACUGUUUAAAGUAGCCUACAGAUUCUGCAGAUGACAGCUGAGUAUCAUUCAACAGUCUGCAUUGCCGUGACCCUGAAUGGAUUGAUGGAUGUCUCUCCUACAUCCUGGCUCUUAGACAGGUAUUACUGUUAACAGUUUCACAUUUUUCCGUUCUACCCCACAUAUGAUAACAUGAAAAACACUUGAAACUUGCCUGAAACUUAGUGUAAGUUUUCUGCCUUUCACAUGGAACUUUUAGAGACCGAGGGAUUUGAACCAAGACUGACGAGUGUGUUUUUUUGUGGUUUUUUUUUUUUUUUAAGAUUCUCUCAGAUUUUUUUUCCAGGUUUAGGAACUUGCAUUGUUUAAUUUCUGGCAAAUAAUCUGUGUGAAUGUCAGGAUGGUGAGCAAAUGCAUAGAUUCAUAGAUAAUAUUCUUCCAUUUGAGUGAAAAGACUAACUUGCAACAUCUAACAAACAAGAAACUGGAUUUGAAAAAAAGUUUUAAUUGAAUUUCUUCACACGCACACACAAACCCACACAUGCAUAAAACAGUACAUAGUACAUGGUAUUCACUGAUAUGGUUAUAGCAUAACAAUAUCAAGAGUUUGCAGGCAAAAUAAACAACUUUUCCCUCCCAAUAAAUUGAUGUAACCAAAUAGGAAAAUGAUGAAAACAUGCAGCAAAUGGUCACAUAAUAGCCUAGAGUAUAAAAGACAAAUCUUU
Long non-coding RNA from Megalobrama amblycephala (Wuchang bream), 1603 nucleotides. RefSeq lists it as uncharacterized. The transcript is spliced from 11 exons. NCBI's taxonomy places the organism in Eukaryota, Metazoa, Chordata, Actinopteri, Cypriniformes, Xenocyprididae. The record is from RefSeq and is a predicted model, not a curated record.